This 329-nucleotide small nuclear RNA is filed under the name Anolis carolinensis (green anole). RNAcentral's name for it is "7SK RNA". It matches the Rfam family "7SK RNA". From Rfam's summary of the family: 7SK was discovered as an abundant small nuclear RNA in the mid-70s but a possible function has only recently been suggested. The record is from Rfam by way of RNAcentral. Lineage: Eukaryota; Metazoa; Chordata; Lepidosauria; Squamata; Anolidae.
GAAUGAGAGGGCAAUCUGGUUGCAACAUCUGCCACCCACUGAUUACCAGGGUUGAUUAAGCUGAUAUGGCUGGCUUGGUGGGUAUCCCCUUCCUCCUUCACCACUCCGUGUGCCUCCUUCCCGAAGCUGCAUACUCGGUGGAAGAGGACGACAUCCCAGAUUUAGCAGGAGUGUACCAAAAUCUCCAGUCUUCACUCCUGGGCAUAUGAUAUCUGCGCUUACCCUGCUAGAACCCUCCAAACAAGCUCAAGGUCCAAUCUCCUGAUACUGUAACAUGGAACCAUGGCAGUCAAAGUAUUAUCACACUAGUAUGGCUACAGUGUAUGUAU